RNAcentral lists this long non-coding RNA (707 nucleotides) under Monodelphis domestica (gray short-tailed opossum). RNAcentral describes it as "lncRNA (ENSMODG00000035512.2)". Lineage: Eukaryota; Metazoa; Chordata; Mammalia; Didelphimorphia; Didelphidae. The record is from RNAcentral.
GUUCUUGGUCCUUUCGUGGUUCUGAUCGUAUUUUCUUAUUGCAUCUUUUAGGAAUCUCUUGGAAAAUUCCUUCACCUUUUGGAACAAUUUCUUCUAUAUACUUAUUUGCUUGUCCAUUCAACAGGCAGGGAAGCAAUCCCUGACGUCAAGAAGAUUAUAUUCCGAGCAUCUGGAGCGAGAACUCCUAAACCCUGAAUAUGCAUCUGUAUAGCUGUGAGAAUUGGACUGGAGCCCCCCAAGUUUAUUUCAUCUCAUUCACUAGAAAGUGAUGGUUCUUAGUCAUCAAAACUCAGGACAGCUGUACAGAUAAGCUGCAGUGAAGACCAGAGAUUCUGCCUGACAUCAUGAAGAAAGGCAAGAGAGAAAAAAUUAUUAAGAACCUCCUACUCCCUAGGCAUAAUGUUAGGUGCUGAGGAUACAGAUGAAAAUGUAAGAUGGUUCUUUUCUUCCAAAGACUUCUAAUCCUAAAGACAACAUAGAAAUGAAGGGUGGCCAAGCAAUGGAACUUUGGUCUAAAACACUAAAAAAAUAACAAGAAUGGUGGAUGGAACCAACCAGAGGAAAGGAAAUAUUCUCUGGAGAUAAGAGGAAAAGAAAAAAAAAAGUAGUCCCUGAUCUCCUGGAGUUUACCCUUGAAUGGGUGAGAUAGCAGGCACAUAAUCUGGAUAAUUUAAGACACAUAUAGAAGAACAAAAGGUAACUUCAAG